UUAUUGCACUUGGUCCAACCAACUAUGUAGCUGGUCCUGGGAGGGAUUUUCUGGGCUUUCUAGAAAACAGAGCCUUAGUCAAAAGUGUACGUGCUCCCAUUUUAUUGAGGAGUAUGACUCCAGAGACACAGGAGUGAGUCGAAAAGGAAUCCCAAAUUAGGUAUGGAAAGAAGAGGAGAAAACACAGGGGAAGUGGAACAGAACUGGCCUUUAUUUGACAGCAAUUGCAACUGAUGCCUUGAUCUCCCAGGAUGUUUUCUAAGAGGCCAUCUAAGUACCUCAUUUCACAUGUAUCUGUUUAUUGGUGAUUGGAAAAGAAAAUAAUUUAUCCUCAGCUUCUUCCUCUUCUCCAUCUUCCAUUGGUCAAAAUCCACCAUGAGCUGUUAACUCCUCCUUUUUCCAAGGUAUGAUAAAUAAAUACCAUGGAAUCCAACAAGACACCCAACAGAUUCUCAUUCUCCAAAAACCUUACUAAAGAAAAAGAGUAGGUUGAAGAAAUUCUAAGAAUGCUGCUAAUGUCCUCCAACUUAGAGAGAGGGUGACUGAGAGCUGAGUAGAAAGACACAGGAAGAUAUUCGAUACUAGAGGUCCCGGAGGAUCUGGAGGAUCCUGGAGGAUCGCACCCCUGGAGGAUCUCAGAAAGACAAAAACAGAUACUGGAACUUACCACCUUCAGAUGGAGAAAAUAGAUAAUAUUAAUGGAAAUAGGUAGUCCCUAGUAGGAGACAUUUGUAGGAUUUCAGUGAGAAAGCCAAACCCAAAUUGUCCAGAACAAGGGUUAUAAUUCUUUAAUCCUUGAACCCUCAGGCUUCAGAAAAGCCGAUAGAACAGACAACCAAGCCGUCAAAAUGUAGCACCUAAAUUAACAAUCAAACAACUCUCCAAAACAAAGGAACUAUAGCAAAGAGAAUUUACCCAUACUAUGUCAUAACAGAAACUUCCAGACAAAGCACUCUGUUAACCAAUAACCGAAUGAAAAUGCAUGCCACGGAAACAAUGGCAACAGACUACAGUUGAAAAAAAAAUUAGCUAGUGAAUAACAUAUGAAGAAUCCAUCAUCAAGAAGACAUAACCCAAAGAACAGAACUUAUUUCCCACAAGUACUUCACAGUAUAAAAGAAUUUAGAAGAAAAUGAAUUCAAUAAAAGAACUCAAAGACAAGAUGAUAAAACAAAUUAGGGAAACUGAAGUGCUAAAGGGGAAAAAAUGAGAAACAAAAGAUUCUAUUAUUAUAGACCUAAUACAUAAAUU
RNAcentral lists this long non-coding RNA (1251 nucleotides) under Homo sapiens (human). RNAcentral's name for it is "HSALNT0080709". Lineage: Eukaryota; Metazoa; Chordata; Mammalia; Primates; Hominidae. The record is from RNAcentral.